This 468-nucleotide ribosomal RNA is filed under the name uncultured bacterium. RNAcentral's name for it is "partial 16S ribosomal RNA". It matches the Rfam family "Bacterial small subunit ribosomal RNA", at positions 28 to 507 of the family's 1533-position model. The record is from RNAcentral.
GAUGAACGCUGGCGGCGUGCUUAACACAUGCAAGUCGAACGGUGAAGGCGGAGCUUGCUCUGCUGGAUCAGUGGCGAACGGGUGAGUAACACGUGAGCAAUCUGCCCCUGACUCUGGGAUAAGCGCUGGAAACGGCGUCUAAUACUGGAUACGAGCUGCGAAGGCAUCUUCAGCAGCUGGAAAGAAUUUCGGUCAGGGAUGAGCUCGCGGCCUAUCAGCUUGUUGGUGAGGUAAUGGCUCACCAAGGCGUCGACGGGUAGCCGGCCUGAGAGGGUGACCGGCCACACUGGGACUGAGACACGGCCCAGACUCCUACGGGAGGCAGCAGUGGGGAAUAGUGCACAAUGGGCGAAAGCCUGAUGCAGCAACGCCGCGUGAGGGACGACGGCCUUCGGGUUGUAAACCUCUUUUGGCAGGGAAGAAGCGAAAGUGACGGUACCUGCAGAAAAAGCGCCGGCUAACUACGUG